CCUACGGGUGGCAGCAGUGGGGAAUCUUGCGCAAUGGGCGAAAGCCUGACGCAGCAACGCCGCGUGCGGGAUGACAGCCUUCGUGGUUGUAAACCGCUUUCAGCAGGGACGAAAAUGACGGUACCUGCAGAAGAAGCUCCGGCUAACUACGUGCCAGCAGCCGCGGUAAUACGUAGGGAGCAAGCGUUGUCCGGAUUCAUUGGGCGUAAAGAGCUCGUAGGCGGUUCAGUAAGUCGGGUGUGAAAGCUCCGAGCUCAACUCGGAGAGGCCACCCGAUACUGCUGUGACUAGAGUCCAGUAGGGGAGCGUGGAAUUCCUGGUGUAGCGGUGAAAUGCGCAGAUAUCAGGAGGAACACCAGCGGCGAAGGCGGCGCUCUGGGCUGGAACUGACGCUGAGGAGCGAAAGCGUGGGUAGCAAACAGGAUUAGAUACCCUAGUAGUC
RNAcentral lists this ribosomal RNA (442 nucleotides) under uncultured bacterium. RNAcentral's name for it is "bacterial SSU rRNA". It matches the Rfam family "Bacterial small subunit ribosomal RNA", at positions 338 to 795 of the family's 1533-position model. The record is from RNAcentral.